UACGUAGGUGGCAAGCGUUGUCCGGAUUUACUGGGUGUAAAGGGCGUGCAGCCGGAGAGACAAGUCAGAUGUGAAAUCCACGGGCUCAACCCGUGAACUGCAUUUGAAACUGUUUCCCUUGAGUGUCGGAGAGGUAAUCGGAAUUCCUUGUGUAGCGGUGAAAUGCGUAGAUAUAAGGAAGAACACCAGUGGCGAAGGCGGGUUACUGGACGAUAACUGACGGUGAGGCGCGAAAGCGUGGGGAGCAAACAGG
RNAcentral lists this ribosomal RNA (253 nucleotides) under uncultured bacterium. RNAcentral describes it as "partial 16S ribosomal RNA". It matches the Rfam family "Bacterial small subunit ribosomal RNA", at positions 524 to 776 of the family's 1533-position model. The record is from RNAcentral.